Pelobates cultripes (western spadefoot toad) is the source of this 255-nucleotide non-coding RNA. NCBI's taxonomy places the organism in Eukaryota, Metazoa, Chordata, Amphibia, Anura, Pelobatidae. The record is from the annotation of a GenBank genome assembly.
CUGAGGAAAGCUAGGGAUCAUGGGAAAAUUGCUCUGACCAGCGGAAAUGAAGCACACUUUGCUCCUCCGCUGGUCAGAGCUGGUCAAGCGGAGGAAUCCUCCAUAAGGCAAAGAGUCCCUACUUUGUCUUAUGAUUUUAAAGAAAACUAAAGAAGACAGGAAGAAAUGAAUAACAGAUCCUGAGAGAGGGGGAGAAGAGGAAGAGAUUGAGGAAAGGUAAGUUCGGCAUGACAGUGCCGCUUUAAAUAGAAAUUA